UCUCAGAGAAUCAUUGGUGCGGAAUUGUAGGUAAUAGCUUAGGGCCACGAAUGACUUUUCAUUAUUAAGCAGUAGGUUUACUACCAAAAUUCCACUAAUAUCAUUGUUAUGAUUGGUUACCGAGGGAGGAAGGGAAAUACUACAAACAAACAAUGGUUCUAAAAUUGGCCUUCAAAACCAUAUUCCCACUUGUGUACACUGUCUACACAAGUGUACAGUACACACAAAUAUAUUUUGAAAAGCACAAAAGUAGACAGCUGCUGAGGUUAUAUGACGACAAAUGAUACGAAAUCAAUGAAGUUCAGUAAGCUGCUAUAAGGGUUCUUAAUGCUCCUAGCUGCUUCUAACCAAAUUGUUUGUAGUCUCUUUUUUAAAAUCUAGAUAUGUAUGAUCUUCCAAACACUUCUGGUUUGACUUUUUGUGAUUCUUUCAGAGCUGGCUUUGGGGUCUCUAAUAACAAUCUAAUGUAUGAAGAACCAGAAUGUCGUAAGUUAUUAAACUAAACACACCUUAUCCAUUUCUUUUUGGGUGUUCUGUUAAAAUUGGAAAUCAAAUGCAACUUUUUAAUUAAUCAAUCUCCUUUCUUUCUCAAAAUUGACAUUCUCAAGCAAGUUCUUCACCUAUCUUGCCAAAAAUUAUUUCAGAAAUUUCUUGGCAGUUGCAAAAAACUUCCUGCUUUUACGUCAUUUUCUGGCGAUUGCCUCGUGUUCCGAUUAAAUGCCAUUCUAAUCAUAGCCAAUCACCUAUCCUUAUGUUUUGCUGAAAGCAUUGUCUGUGUCGUAGGGAUUUUCAGAAACAGCCCCUGAACGUACUUUUUGUUGUCAUCUGUCAACCGAAAACGGCGAAGCCAUUCAAAUUUCAUCUGUAGUCUAUGUGCUUUUUUUUGCUACUAGAUAAAGAUUUGUCAGGAGUUUUUAAACCGGAAAUUAUCAGUCACAUGUACUGACGAAAGGACAGGGUACACUACAAGAAUUCUCUUUCUGCAUUUUUGUUUUCUUUUUUCUUAAUUUUACUGGUAGCGCCUUGCUGGGAGGAAUUCGAAAUCAAUCUAAAGUUUUUCCCCCAUGAACUAAGAGGAAAGAAAAGAAAAACUGUCGUAUUUAAACAAUAGCGCCUUAGCCAUAAUGAAAACGAAACUCAUUUAACAAUAAAGCACAUUAAAACGAAACCAUCCACGAUUAUCCGGCGUUGUUCGAAAAUCAACAUGACAAUACACAGGGAGUGAUAAUGACGAUGGCGUAGAGAAAAUUCAUCAAAGCAAAUAAUGAAUAAGUGGUAUUUUGUGGGCAUUUAAAUCUUGUUUACUUCUUAUUGUUUUUAGGAUAGUUUUUCCGAUGAGCUGGUGACCACCUAAUCGCCGAAACGUCAACAGUAAGUCGUGGUUUUUUGAACUGAGCUGAUUUGAUGUGCUCCUCAACCAGCUUUGGAGUAACACAGAUGACAUGCUGACCUUUCCAGUACUUGACCAUGUUCAUUGUUUGCAACGUUGAGACUAUAUCGCUCUGCGUGAUACUCGUCAUGUGGCUGUAGAAGAAUCAGAAUUCAUUAUUUACUAGUACAUUAAUAAAACAGUGGCUAGGCCAUACCUCAAAUCA
Molecule: long non-coding RNA, 1595 nt
Organism: Daphnia magna
Lineage: Eukaryota; Metazoa; Arthropoda; Branchiopoda; Diplostraca; Daphniidae
Exons: 2
Source: RefSeq, a predicted model, not a curated record